Molecule: ribosomal RNA, 514 nt
Filed under: uncultured bacterium
Lineage: Bacteria
Description: partial 16S ribosomal RNA
Rfam family: Bacterial small subunit ribosomal RNA
Source: RNAcentral
GAUGAACGCUGGCGGCGUGCCUAAUACAUGCAAGUCGAGCGAACUGAUUAGAAGCUUGCUUCUAUGACGUUAGCGGCGGACGGGUGAGUAACACGUGGGCAACCUGCCUGUAAGACUGGGAUAACUUCGGGAAACCGAAGCUAAUACCGGAUAGGAUCAUCUCCUUCAUGGGAGAUGAUUGAAAGAUGGUUUCGGCUAUCACUUACAGAUGGGCCCGCGGUGCAUUAGCUAGUUGGUGAGGUAACGGCUCACCAAGGCAACGAUGCAUAGCCGACCUGAGAGGGUGAUCGGCCACACUGGGACUGAGACACGGCCCAGACUCCUACGGGAGGCAGCAGUAGGGAAUCUUCCGCAAUGGACGAAAGUCUGACGGAGCAACGCCGCGUGAGUGAUGAAGGCUUUCGGGUCGUAAAACUCUGUUGUUAGGGAAGAACAAGUACAAGAGUAACUGCUUGUACCUUGACGGUACCUAACCAGAAAGCCACGGCUAACUACGUGCCAGCAGCCGCAGUAA